Long non-coding RNA from Solea senegalensis (Senegalese sole), 528 nucleotides. RefSeq lists it as uncharacterized. Lineage: Eukaryota; Metazoa; Chordata; Actinopteri; Pleuronectiformes; Soleidae. The record is from RefSeq and is a predicted model, not a curated record. The transcript is spliced from 5 exons.
ACGGCUCUGAAUACAACACGGAAACAACAAUUUAAUAACCACAAGCAGGACGGGAGCCUUCAAAGAACAGCUGCAAGGGGGCCGAGUCCAGGAAGAAAGCAAUCUGCAGGUAGCCGGUGGACAAGUACUGUUCCAUGUCUUGCUGAAAAGCCUCCUCGAAGAACUUCUGCCUCUCUUUCAGCUUGACCUGUGGAGGUGGGACCACUCCCUGCUCUGCCCCAGGGACUCUCUGUGGGUGCUCUGCAUCCAGCUCCACUACAACACACAACACAUGGGAGGAAGACACACGUGCUCGCUGACCUCUGCUGCGCACACUUCAGUGAACCGAGCCUCAUCUGCUGCUGCUCUGAAACCUCAAUGAUGCUGCGACUUCAACAGGCACAACUGGCUUUAACAUGGCAUUUACUGGAUUCUGAUUGGCCCAGGCAAAGGCAGGGGGGGCGGAAAGAAGGGUGAAAGAAAACAUGACCCUGCGGACAGAGACGAGCGACCCUUGCAACAUAAAGACCCCCGGUGAAAGAGACAGAC